GAUCAUGGCUCAGAUUGAACGCUGGCGGCAGGGCCUAACACAUGGCAAGUCGAACGGUAACAGGAAACAGCUUGCUGUUUUCGCUGACGAGUGGCGGACGGGUGAGUAAUGUCUGGGAAACUGCCUGAUGGAGGGGGAUAACUACUGGAAACGGUAGCUAAUACCGCAUAACGUCGCAAGACCAAAGAGGGGGACCCUCGGGCCUCUUGCCAUCGGAUGUGCCCAGAUGGGAUUAGCUUGUUGGUGGGGUAACGGCUCACCAAGGCGACGAUCCCUAGCUGGUCUGAGAGGAUGACCAGCCACACUGGAACUGAGACACGGUCCAGACUCCUACGGGAGGCAGCAGUGGGGAAUAUUGCACAAUGGGCGCAAGCCUGAUGCAGCCAUGCCGCGUGUAUGAAGAAGGCCUUCGGGUUGUAAAGUACUUUCAGCGGGGAGGAAGGGAGUAAAGUUAAUACCUUUGCUCAUUGACGUUACCCGCAGAAGAAGCACCGGCUAACUCCGUG
This 506-nucleotide ribosomal RNA is filed under the name uncultured bacterium. RNAcentral's name for it is "bacterial SSU rRNA". It matches the Rfam family "Bacterial small subunit ribosomal RNA", at positions 15 to 507 of the family's 1533-position model. The record is from RNAcentral.